AGCAGCGGCUCAGGGGCGGAAGCACUGAGCUCAUCCUUGUUGAGCAGCACAGAACACGAAGAAGAAGAAGAAGAAGGAAAGAAGAAGAAGAAGAAGAAGAAGAACCCUCAUUAGUCUCAGGUGAGAGCGUUGUCGACGCCUCCAGCUCUUUGUGGAGCCUUAACGUGUGGACUUCUACGUGGAAUGGUUUGUUGGUUGUCGUCUUCUGCUCAGGCCCGCGUUUCUCCACCUCCUCCGUCUAAAGGCAAGAACACCUGCGUCGGCACAGUGGUGGAAACGGAGCAGACGUCUUCACGCAGACCCGUCUUCUUCUUCCUAGCUCCUCGUUUAUUGCACAGCAGAUGGGGCAGGAACGCAGAUCACAGCCGCCGACGCUCCCUGAGCCGAGGAGCACGUCCCUCAGCACCACGUGAGGCUCCGAUUAUUCGAACCGCUGGACGGCGGCCGCAGGUCCUGGAAAGCUGUGGCCGCUGACGUGUGCUCAGAGCUUCGGCGUGGUGAUGUGAGCAGCGGAGGAAACGCGAAUGGCAGUGGUUUUUAUUAUCUUGACACUUUCCUGCGCUUUGUGCUGCGGUGUGUUUAACAAGCGCUACAAGUGCGGGGACGGAGGAGAGAGCAGCAGUGUGACAAAUAGCAGCACAUCAUGCAGAAAAUGUGCAAUGCUAAACAUCAG
Molecule: long non-coding RNA, 673 nt
Filed under: Betta splendens (Siamese fighting fish)
Lineage: Eukaryota; Metazoa; Chordata; Actinopteri; Anabantiformes; Osphronemidae
Description: lncRNA (ENSBSLG00000008248.1)
Source: RNAcentral